UGGGGAAUAUUGCGCAAUGGGCGAAAGCCUGACGCAGCGACGCCGCGUGAGGGAUGAAGGUUUACGGAUCGUAAACCUCUGUCAGAAGGGAAGAAACCGCACUGUGCUAAUCAGCAGUGCCUUGACGGUACCUUCAAAGGAAGCACCGGCUAACUCCGUGCCAGCAGCCGCGGUAAUACGGAGGGUGCAAGCGUUAAUCGGAAUUACUGGGCGUAAAGCGCACGUAGGCUGCUUUGUAAGUCAGGGGUGAAAUCCCACGGCUCAACCGUGGAACUGCCUUUGAUACUGCUUAGCUUGAAUCCGGGAGAGGGUGGCGGAAUUCCAGGUGUAGGAGUGAAAUCCGUAGAUAUCUGGAGGAACAUCAGUGGCGAAGGCGGCCACCUGGACCGGUAUUGACGCUGAGGUGCGAAAGCGUGGGGAGCAAACAGG
This 429-nucleotide ribosomal RNA is filed under the name Fusobacteriota bacterium. RNAcentral describes it as "Fusobacteria bacterium partial 16S ribosomal RNA". It matches the Rfam family "Bacterial small subunit ribosomal RNA", at positions 355 to 776 of the family's 1533-position model. The record is from RNAcentral. Lineage: Bacteria; Fusobacteriati; Fusobacteriota.